CAACGUUUCAGAGGUGCUGCCUCCAACAUCAGUGUGAUGAUCGCCCUGAUGAUGGAGGCAGAAGGCACUAAAAUGAAACAUAUCAACCGCUGAACAAGAAACGGACAGUGUGGGAUCCUGCAUUACUGUUUCAACAAAAGUUGGUACUACACGUGUCAACGCUACUAGCUACAAAUGUUUACCGUACAGAGCUGUAAGUUCUCCACCAGACAAUAAGACGCUUCAAUGACGCGGGUACUACCUGCAGUGGCUAGUUUUCCCAUAACCCGCCCAUCACAUGAGGGCGUCGUUCGGGCGGAGGCGCAUGUGACAUCGCAUUUGGCACUUCCCGCCCAGUUUCGUGGGAAGGGAAAUGGGCGAUGGCCCACUGCCACCACACAAUAACAGAUUCCAGUGCACUGAAACGGGACCCAUCUACGUGUCUUCUCUGUUCGUCAGUGUCGAUUACUGUGGAGAAACUUUUAAAGCUGUGUUCAGAAGGGAGUACCGAGUCUACGCGCAGAGAGCGCUGUGAUUACGCGAGGGGAGCGCG
Zootermopsis nevadensis is the source of this 532-nucleotide long non-coding RNA. RefSeq lists it as uncharacterized. The record is from RefSeq and is a predicted model, not a curated record. NCBI's taxonomy places the organism in Eukaryota, Metazoa, Arthropoda, Insecta, Blattodea, Termopsidae.